This 252-nucleotide ribosomal RNA is filed under the name uncultured Bacteroidales bacterium. RNAcentral describes it as "partial 16S ribosomal RNA". It matches the Rfam family "Bacterial small subunit ribosomal RNA", at positions 524 to 776 of the family's 1533-position model. The record is from RNAcentral. Lineage: Bacteria; Pseudomonadati; Bacteroidota; Bacteroidia; Bacteroidales.
UACGGAGGAUGCGAGCGUUAUCCGGAUUUAUUGGGUUUAAAGGGUGCGCAGGCGGAGGUGCAAGUCAGCGGUCAAAUUGCGGGGCUCAACCCCGUACUGCCGUUGAAACUGCAUCCCUUGAGUGCGCGAGAAGUACGCGGAAUGCGCGGUGUAGCGGUGAAAUGCAUAGAUAUCGCGCAGAACUCCGAUUGCGAAGGCAGCGUACCGGCGCCACACUGACGCUGAGGCACGAAAGCGUGGGGAGCAAACAGG